CCUACGGGUGGCAGCAGUGGGGAAUAUUGCACAAUGGGCGCGAGCCUGAACCAGCCAAGUAGCGUGAAGGAAGACUGCCCUACGGGUUGUAAACUUCUUUUAUAAAGGAAUAAAGUGAGGCACGUGUGCCUUUUUGUAUGUACUUUAUGAAUAAGGAUCGGCUAACUCCGUGCCAGCAGCCGCGGUAAUACGGAGGAGCCGUGCGUUAUCCGGAUUUAUUGGGUUUAAAGGGAGCGUAGAUGGGUUGUUAAGGCCGUUGUGAAAGUUUGCGGCUCAACCGUAAAAUUGCAAUUGAUACUGGCAGUCUUGAGUACAGUUGCGGUAGGCGGAAUUCGUGGUGUAGCUGUGAAAUGCUUAGAUAUCAC
This 365-nucleotide ribosomal RNA is filed under the name uncultured bacterium. Its description in RNAcentral is "partial 16S ribosomal RNA". It matches the Rfam family "Bacterial small subunit ribosomal RNA", at positions 338 to 700 of the family's 1533-position model. The record is from RNAcentral.